UCGAACGGCAGCGCGGGAGCAAUCCUGGCGGCGAGUGGCGAACGGGUGAGUAAUACAUCGGAACGUGCCCAAUCGUGGGGGAUAACGCAGCGAAAGCUGUGCUAAUACCGCAUACGAUCUACGGAUGAAAGCAGGGGAUCGCAAGACCUUGCGCGAAUGGAGCGGCCGAUGGCAGAUUAGGUAGUUGGUGAGGUAAAGGCUCACCAAGCCUUCGAUCUGUAGCUGGUCUGAGAGGACGACCAGCCACACUGGGACUGAGACACGGCCCAGACUCCUACGGGAGGCAGCAGUGGGGAAUUUUGGACAAUGGGCGAAAGCCUGAUCCAGCCAUGCCGCGUGCAGGAUGAAGGCCUUCGGGUUGUAAACUGCUUUUGUACGGAACGAAACGGCCUUUUCUAAUAAAGAGGGCUAAUGACGGUACCGUAAGAAUAAGCACCGGCUAACUACGUGCCAGCAGCCGCGGUAAUACGUAGGGUGCAAGCGUUAAUCGGAAUUACUGGGCGUAAAGCGUGCGCAGGCGGUAAUGUAAGACAGUUGUGAAAUCCCCGGGCUCAACCUGGGAACUGCAUCUGUGACUGCAUUGCUGGAGUACGGCAGAGGGGGAUGGAAUUCCGCGUGUAGCAGUGAAAUGCGUAGAUAUGCGGAGGAACACCGAUGGCGAAGGCAAUCCCCUGGGCCUGUACUGACGCUCAUGCACGAAAGCGUGGGGAGCAAACCGGAUUAGAUACCCUGGUAGUCCACGCCCUA
RNAcentral lists this ribosomal RNA (747 nucleotides) under Variovorax paradoxus. Its description in RNAcentral is "bacterial SSU rRNA". It matches the Rfam family "Bacterial small subunit ribosomal RNA", at positions 62 to 804 of the family's 1533-position model. The record is from RNAcentral. Lineage: Bacteria; Pseudomonadati; Pseudomonadota; Betaproteobacteria; Burkholderiales; Comamonadaceae.